This 2904-nucleotide ribosomal RNA is filed under the name Escherichia coli. Its description in RNAcentral is "23S ribosomal RNA". It matches the Rfam family "Bacterial large subunit ribosomal RNA". Lineage: Bacteria; Pseudomonadati; Pseudomonadota; Gammaproteobacteria; Enterobacterales; Enterobacteriaceae. The record is from RNAcentral.
UUAAGCGACUAAGCGUACACGGUGGAUGCCCUGGCAGUCAGAGGCGAUGAAGGACGUGCUAAUCUGCGAUAAGCGUCGGUAAGGUGAUAUGAACCGUUAUAACCGGCGAUUUCCGAAUGGGGAAACCCAGUGUGUUUCGACACACUAUCAUUAACUGAAUCCAUAGGUUAAUGAGGCGAACCGGGGGAACUGAAACAUCUAAGUACCCCGAGGAAAAGAAAUCAACCGAGAUUCCCCCAGUAGCGGCGAGCGAACGGGGAGGAGCCCAGAGCCUGAAUCAGUGUGUGUGUUAGUGGAAGCGUCUGGAAAGGCGCGCGAUACAGGGUGACAGCCCCGUACACAAAAAUGCACAUACUGUGAGCUCGAUGAGUAGGGCGGGACACGUGGUAUCCUGUCUGAAUAUGGGGGGACCAUCCUCCAAGGCUAAAUACUCCUGACUGACCGAUAGUGAACCAGUACCGUGAGGGAAAGGCGAAAAGAACCCCGGCGAGGGGAGUGAAAAAGAACCUGAAACCGUGUACGUACAAGCAGUGGGAGCACGCUUCGGCGUGUGACUGCGUACCUUUUGUAUAAUGGGUCAGCGACUUAUAUUCUGUAGCAAGGUUAACCGAAUAGGGGAGCCGAAGGGAAACCGAGUCUUAACUGGGCGUUAAGUUGCAGGGUAUAGACCCGAAACCCGGUGAUCUAGCCAUGGGCAGGUUGAAGGUUGGGUAACACUAACUGGAGGACCGAACCGACUAAUGUUGAAAAAUUAGCGGAUGACUUGUGGCUGGGGGUGAAAGGCCAAUCAAACCGGGAGAUAGCUGGUUCUCCCCGAAAGCUAUUUAGGUAGCGCCUCGUGAAUUCAUCUCCGGGGGUAGAGCACUGUUUCGGCAAGGGGGUCAUCCCGACUUACCAACCCGAUGCAAACUGCGAAUACCGGAGAAUGUUAUCACGGGAGACACACGGCGGGUGCUAACGUCCGUCGUGAAGAGGGAAACAACCCAGACCGCCAGCUAAGGUCCCAAAGUCAUGGUUAAGUGGGAAACGAUGUGGGAAGGCCCAGACAGCCAGGAUGUUGGCUUAGAAGCAGCCAUCAUUUAAAGAAAGCGUAAUAGCUCACUGGUCGAGUCGGCCUGCGCGGAAGAUGUAACGGGGCUAAACCAUGCACCGAAGCUGCGGCAGCGACGCUUAUGCGUUGUUGGGUAGGGGAGCGUUCUGUAAGCCUGCGAAGGUGUACUGUGAGGUAUGCUGGAGGUAUCAGAAGUGCGAAUGCUGACAUAAGUAACGAUAAAGCGGGUGAAAAGCCCGCUCGCCGGAAGACCAAGGGUUCCUGUCCAACGUUAAUCGGGGCAGGGUGAGUCGACCCCUAAGGCGAGGCCGAAAGGCGUAGUCGAUGGGAAACAGGUUAAUAUUCCUGUACUUGGUGUUACUGCGAAGGGGGGACGGAGAAGGCUAUGUUGGCCGGGCGACGGUUGUCCCGGUUUAAGCGUGUAGGCUGGUUUUCCAGGCAAAUCCGGAAAAUCAAGGCUGAGGCGUGAUGACGAGGCACUACGGUGCUGAAGUAACAAAUGCCCUGCUUCCAGGAAAAGCCUCUAAGCAUCAGGUAACAUCAAAUCGUACCCCAAACCGACACAGGUGGUCAGGUAGAGAAUACCAAGGCGCUUGAGAGAACUCGGGUGAAGGAACUAGGCAAAAUGGUGCCGUAACUUCGGGAGAAGGCACGCUGAUAUGUAGGUGAAGCGACUUGCUCGUGGAGCUGAAAUCAGUCGAAGAUACCAGCUGGCUGCAACUGUUUAUUAAAAACACAGCACUGUGCAAACACGAAAGUGGACGUAUACGGUGUGACGCCUGCCCGGUGCCGGAAGGUUAAUUGAUGGGGUUAGCGGUAACGCGAAGCUCUUGAUCGAAGCCCCGGUAAACGGCGGCCGUAACUAUAACGGUCCUAAGGUAGCGAAAUUCCUUGUCGGGUAAGUUCCGACCUGCACGAAUGGCGUAAUGAUGGCCAGGCUGUCUCCACCCGAGACUCAGUGAAAUUGAACUCGCUGUGAAGAUGCAGUGUACCCGCGGCAAGACGGAAAGACCCCGUGAACCUUUACUAUAGCUUGACACUGAACAUUGAGCCUUGAUGUGUAGGAUAGGUGGGAGGCUUUGAAGUGUGGACGCCAGUCUGCAUGGAGCCGACCUUGAAAUACCACCCUUUAAUGUUUGAUGUUCUAACGUUGGCCCCUAAUCGGGGUUGCGGACAGUGUCUGGUGGGUAGUUUGACUGGGGCGGUCUCCUCCUAAAGAGUAACGGAGGAGCACGAAGGUUGGCUAAUCCUGGUCGGACAUCAGGAGGUUAGUGCAAUGGCAUAAGCCAGCUUGACUGCGAGCGUGACGGCGCGAGCAGGUGCGAAAGCAGGUCAUAGUGAUCCGGUGGUUCUGAAUGGAAGGGCCAUCGCUCAACGGAUAAAAGGUACUCCGGGGAUAACAGGCUGAUACCGCCCAAGAGUUCAUAUCGACGGCGGUGUUUGGCACCUCGAUGUCGGCUCAUCACAUCCUGGGGCUGAAGUAGGUCCCAAGGGUAUGGCUGUUCGCCAUUUAAAGUGGUACGCGAGCUGGGUUUAGAACGUCGUGAGACAGUUCGGUCCCUAUCUGCCGUGGGCGCUGGAGAACUGAGGGGGGCUGCUCCUAGUACGAGAGGACCGGAGUGGACGCAUCACUGGUGUUCGGGUUGUCAUGCCAAUGGCACUGCCCGGUAGCUAAAUGCGGAAGAGAUAAGUGCUGAAAGCAUCUAAGCACGAAACUUGCCCCGAGAUGAGUUCUCCCUGACCCUUUAAGGGUCCUGAAGGAACGUUGAAGACGACGACGUUGAUAGGCCGGGUGUGUAAGCGCAGCGAUGCGUUGAGCUAACCGGUACUAAUGAACCGUGAGGCUUAACCUU